AGAGUUUGAUCAUGGCUCAGAUUGAACGCUGGCGGAAUGCUUUACACAUGCAAGUCGAGCGGCAGCGCGGGGGCAACCCUGGCGGCGAGCGGCGAACGGGUGAGUAACACAUAGGAACAUGCCCAGUAAUGGGGGAUAACGCCGAGAAAUCGGUGCUAAUACCGCAUACGCCCUGAGGGGGAAAGCGGGGGAUCUUCGGACCUCGCGUUAUUGGAUUGGCCUAUGUCUGAUUAGCUAGUUGGUGAGGUAAAGGCUCACCAAGGCUUCGAUCAGUAGCUGGUCUGAGAGGAUGAUCAGCCACACUGGAACUGAGACACGGUCCAGACUCCUACGGGAGGCAGCAGUGGGGAAUUUUGGACAAUGGGCGCAAGCCUGAUCCAGCCAUUCCGCGUGAGUGAAGAAGGCCUUCGGGUUGUAAAGCUCUUUCGGCAGGAAAGAAAUCGCCAUACCUAAUACGUGUGGUGGAUGACGGUACCUGAAGAAGAAGCACCGGCUAACUACGUGCCAGCAGCCGCGGUAAUACGUAGGGUGCGAGCGUUAAUCGGAAUUACUGGGCGUAAAGCGUGCGCAGGCGGUUUCGCAAGUCAGAUGUGAAAGCCCCGGGCUUAACCUGGGAAUUGCGUUUGAAACUGCGAGGCUAGAGUGUGUCAGAGGGGGGUAGAAUUCCACGUAGCAGUGAAAUGCGUAGAGAUGUGGAGGAAUACCGAUGGCGAAGGCAGCCCCCUGGGAUAACACUGACGCUCAUGCACGAAAGCGUGGGGAGCAAACAGGAUUAGAUACCCUAGUAGUCC
Molecule: ribosomal RNA, 791 nt
Filed under: uncultured bacterium
Lineage: Bacteria
Description: bacterial SSU rRNA
Rfam family: Bacterial small subunit ribosomal RNA
Source: RNAcentral